This 529-nucleotide ribosomal RNA is filed under the name uncultured eukaryote. RNAcentral describes it as "SSU rRNA". It matches the Rfam family "Eukaryotic small subunit ribosomal RNA", at positions 18 to 552 of the family's 1831-position model. The record is from RNAcentral.
CAGUAGUCAUAUGCUUGUCUCAAAGAKUAAGCCAUGCAUGUCUAAGUAUAAGCAAUCUAUACCGUGAAACUGCGAAUGGCUCAUUAAAUCAGUUAUCGUUUAUUUGAUAGUACCUUACUACUUGGAUAACCGUGGUAAUUCUAGAGCUAAUACAUGCUAAAAACCUCAACUUCGGAAGGGGUGUAUUUAUUAGAUAAAAAACCAAUGCCCUUCGGGGCUCCUUGGUGAUUCAUAAUAACUUAACGAAUCGCAUGGCCUUGUGCCGGCGAUGGUUCAUUCAAAUUUCUGCCCUAUCAACUUUCGAUGGUAUGGUCUUGGCUUACCAUGGUUUCAACGGGUAACGGGGAAUUAGGGUUCUAUUCCGGAGAGGGAGCCUGAGAAACGGCUACCACAUCCAAGGAAGGCAGCAGGCGCGCAAAUUACCCAAUCCCGACACGGGGAGGUAGUGACAAUAAAUACUGAUACAGGGCUCUUUUGGGUCUUGUAAUUGGAAUGAGUACAAUUUAAAUCCCUUAACGAGGAACAAUUG